RNAcentral lists this unclassified non-coding RNA (348 nucleotides) under soil metagenome. RNAcentral describes it as "partial contains 5.8S ribosomal RNA, internal transcribed spacer 2, and large subunit ribosomal RNA". The stretch from base 1 to 120 matches the Rfam family "5.8S ribosomal RNA", at positions 35 to 154 of the family's 154-position model. The record is from RNAcentral.
GACGAAGAACGUAGCGAAAUGCGAUAAGUAAUGUGAAUUGCAGAAUUCAGUGAAUCAUCGAAUCUUUGAACGCACAUUGCGCCCGCCAGUAUUCUGGCGGGCAUGCCUGUCUGAGCGUCAUUUCAACCCUCAUGCCCCUCGGGCGUGGUGUUGGGGAUCGGCCAAAGCCCGCGAGGGACGGCCGGCCCCUAAAUCUAGUGGCGGACCCGUCGUGGCCUCCUCUGCGAAGUAGUGAUAUUCCGCAUCGGAGAGCGACGAGCCCCUGCCGUUAAACCCCCAACUUUCCAAGGUUGACCUCAGAUCAGGUAGGAAUACCCGCUGAACUUAAGCAUAUCAAUAAGCGGAGGA